Long non-coding RNA from Pan troglodytes (chimpanzee), 2882 nucleotides. NCBI's taxonomy places the organism in Eukaryota, Metazoa, Chordata, Mammalia, Primates, Hominidae. The record is from Ensembl.
CAGAUCUGAAAACUGUGAAUGACAGUGACAAUCGGAAUACCUUUUACAUAGUGCCUAUCUCCAAGGAAUCAUUUUUCCCUCAUGUCAGAGGAUCCAGUAAUCUGUCUUUGGCUAAAGAGAGAGAUUUUUUUUUUUUUUUUAAUGUCCAAGCUUCCAGUAGCCUAAACAAUUGCCAGCAGAGAAACCAGGAUGUUUUCUUUCAAAAGCCUAUACAGAACUAUUUUGGAAACAGUUCAGCCACUGGGUAAGCGAGUCAAAGGGCUGCUAGGAAGUGCGUGCUGUAACACACAUUUCACUCUCUGCAAACAUUCUUUUCUGAUGGUGCAUCUGAGUGCUGAGAUUCUCUCUCCCUGGGGCCUUCCUGUUCCAUCUGCUCCAGCUUACUGGUUCCCCUGCAAAAACAGCAAAGGAUGCCAUCCCUGCACUGGAGAAGAAAUGCCACCCAACCUCCUCAGUUUUGUACUUAUUUGACUGAUAAAAGAAAAACUUCAGCUGAAUUAAAUUUAAAGAAGUUUAACUGAACAACCAACGAUUCGCGAAUCAAGCAGCUUUCCCAGCCAGAGUAGGCUCAGAGACUCCAGCACAGCCACAUGGGAGAAGAUUUAUGGACAGAAAAACGAAAGUGAGGCACAGAAGCAACUGGAUUGGUUACAGGUUGGCAUUUGCCUUAUUUCAACAUGUUCAAACAAUUGGCUACAUUUGGCCAAAACUCAAUGAUUGGCACAAAUGUAAGCUACGGUCUGUUUACACCUCCACUUGUUAUAGUUCACAAUGUACAGAAAAACCUUUAAGUCGAACUUAAAAUACGUACAGAGGCAACUUUAGGCUAAACUUGAUUUAACAGGACUCUGGAGAAUUGUUAAUUUGAGUAUAUUAUGAAUAUAGCCAUUUUGUGUAUAAAAAAGCUAUGCAUGGUUUUACAGGAACCUAGUUCAAGAAAAAUCAGACAUAUAAAACAGACUAAUAAGGAAGUGCUUACUCUUAUUAGAAAAUUAUUCACCUUACAGGAUAAUUUGCACCGGAGUUCAUUUUAUCUGUGUGCAUCCGAAGUAUGAUUUUGUAUUAAAAGUGUGUACUUAUUACUAUCUUAAAUUUUAUUGCAUUUGUCUAAUUAUCCAGAUAAUUAUGGUUUUUAAGAAAGAUAUGCUUUCACCUGAACUACCCCAAACCUGAGAAACAAUGUUAUUUAUAGAACAUUAGAACUGGAAGGGAACUGAGAAACCCUUUAAUCAAGCUGUAUGUAGAUUUGUUUUUUUAAUGUUGAGCUUGUAGUUAGAAUGUAGAUGCAGGAAAGUUGAUCAGCAUUAUCAUCGCUUAUUAAUUUAUUCUAGCUCUCAUUUUGUAAGUGUGUGUGUGUGCAUGUGUGUAUUUGGCAUAAGAAGUUGGCUAAAAUUUCCUAGCCUAAAAAUGAUCAAAGGAGUAUUUUCUUGAUCUGCAGUCAAAUGCUCUACCCCUGAGCUAUACCUUCUCCUUAAAGGAGUAUUUUCUACUACCCCUUUAUUCAGCAAGUAGCAAAUACAAAGAAAGGAACCUUAAAGUCUUUAUAGGUGACUUUUAUUUGAAAAAUAUAUGACAUAUGACCCACAUCUAUGUACUAGUUUUAAAUGCUAUCUGGCCUUUGUUAUUAUUUGUCUUAACAAAACAAAACAAAAUCAUGCAGUUGUCAGAGGUGUGUGAACCAGAGCAACUCCAUCUUAAGUAGGAGCUGGGUAAAAUGAGGCUGAAACGUACUGGGCUGCAUUCCCAGAUGGUGAAGGCAUUCUAAGUCACAGGAUGAGACAGGAGAUCAGCACAAAAUACAGGUCAUGAAGACCUUGCUGAUAAAACAGGUGGCAGUAAAGGAGCCGGCUAAAACCCACCAAAACCCAAAUGUCGACGAGAGUGACCUCUGGUUGUCCUCACUGCUACACUCCCAACAGCACCAUGACAGUUUACAAGUGCCAAAGCAAACCAGGAAGUUACCCUAUGUGGUCUAAAAAGGGGAGGUGUGAAUUAUCCACCCCUUGUUUAACAUAUCAUCCAGAAAUAACCAUAAAAAUGGGCAACCAGCAGCCCUCGGGGCUGCUCUGUCUGUGGAGUAGCCAUUCUUUUAUUCCUUUACUUUCUAAAUAAACUUGCUUUCACUUUGCACUGCAGACUCGCCCUGAAUUCUUUCUUAUGCGAGAUCCAAGAACCCUCUCUUGGGGUCUGGAUCGGGACCCCUGUCCUGUAACAUAUUUCUGGUGACCAUGAAGGGACUAUAGUGCAGUAGCCCUGACCCAAUGGCUACCUUUGGGUAAGUGUCGGGGUCCUGUAACGUCUUUCUGGCAACCAAGGAAGCGACUAUACUGUGGAAACCUCUGACCCAAAGGCUACCUUUCGGUAAGUGGUGGGGUCCGGUAACAUCUUUCUAGGGAACCACAAAAGGGACAAUACUAAGGAGACCCUCCCCCGCCCGCCCGACCCAAAGGAAAUAGACUGCAGCACUGAUGGGACAACUUUGGGUAAGUGGUGAGGUACCCAGGUAAAGAAUGGGAUUGGGUUAAGGGCCCAACUUAGGGGAGUUAGGGUCUCUCCUAAAACAGAAUGGGUUAGAGGCCCAUCUUAAUAAAAGGCAAGGAUGCUUGACUUUAGGUUAGAGGCCCGACUUAGGAGGGUUAGAGUCCCUUCUAAGAUUUAGGGGGUUAGAGGCCUCUCUCAGUAAAGUCUCUCUCAGUUAAGAACAGGUUUGGCACUUAGUGAUGUUAACUGCUGUUCUCUUUGGAUUAAUCUGCCUUGCACUCUUUGCUGAUGGCUGUGGGUGACAGGGUUAGGCAUGUACAGGAUCCUGGGACAUAGGGACCUUUUUCCUCCCUAAAAGGGAAACUUGAGAGCUAAUAGGAUGGCUGGAAAAUAUCCCUUUG